This 1445-nucleotide ribosomal RNA is filed under the name uncultured marine cyanobacterium. RNAcentral describes it as "bacterial SSU rRNA". It matches the Rfam family "Bacterial small subunit ribosomal RNA". The record is from RNAcentral. Lineage: Bacteria; Bacillati; Cyanobacteriota.
GAGUUUGAUCAUGGCUCAGGAUGAACGCUGGCGGCGUGCUUAACACAUGCAAGUCGAACGAACCUUCGGGUUAGUGGCGGACGGGCGAGUAACGCGUGGGAAUCUGCCCUCAGGAGGGGGAUAACGGUUGGAAACGACCGCUAAUACCCCAUAUGCCGAGAGGUGAAAUGAAUUUCGCCUGAGGGUGAGCCCGCGUCUGAUUAGCUUGUUGGUGAGGUAAUGGCUCACCAAGGCAUCGAUCAGUACCUGGUCUGAGAGGAUGAUCAGCCACACUGGGACUGAGACACGGCCCAGACUCCUACGGGAGGCAGCAGUGGGGAAUUUUCCGCAAUGGGCGAAAGCCUGACGGAGCAACGCCGCGUGAGGGACGAAGGCCUCUGGGCUGUAAACCUCUUUUCUCAAGGAAGAAGAUAUGACGGUACUUGAGGAAUAAGCCACGGCUAAUUCCGUGCCAGCAGCCGCGGUAAUACGGGAGUGGCAAGCGUUAUCCGGAAUUAUUGGGUGCAAAGCGUCCGCAGGCGGCCCUUCAAGUCUGCUGUUAAAGCGUGGAGCUUAACUCCAUCAUGGCAGUGGAAACUGAUUGGCUUGAGUAUGGUAGGGGCAGAGGGAAUUCCCGGUGUAGCGGUGAAAUGCGUAGAUAUCGGGAAGAACACCAGUGGCGAAGGCGCUCUGCUGGGCCAUUACUGACGCUCAUGGACGAAAGCCAGGGGAGCGAAAGGGAUUAGAUACCCCUGUAGUCCUGGCCGUAAACGAUGAACACUAGGUGUCGGGGGAAUCGACCCCUUCGGUGUCGUAGCUAACGCGUUAAGUGUUCCGCCUGGGGAGUACGCACGCAAGUGUGAAACUCAAAGGAAUUGACGGGGGCCCGCACAAGCGGUGGAGUAUGUGGUUUAAUUCGAUGCAACGCGAAGAACCUUACCAGGGCUUGACAUCCUGCGAACCUUUAAGAAAUUAGAGGGUGCCUUCGGGAACGCAGUGACAGGUGGUGCAUGGCUGUCGUCAGCUCGUGUCGUGAGAUGUUGGGUUAAGUCCCGCAACGAGCGCAACCCACGUUUUUAGUUGCCAGCAUUUAGUUGGGCACUCUAGAAAGACCGCCGGUGAUAAACCGGAGGAAGGUGUGGAUGACGUCAAGUCAUCAUGCCCCUUACGUCCUGGGCUACACACGCACUACAAUGCUACGGACAAAGGGCAGCAAACUCGCGAGAGCUAGCAAAUCCCAUAAACCGUGGCUCAGUUCAGAUCGUAGGCUGCAACUCGCCUACGUGAAGUAGGAAUCGCUAGUAAUCGCAGGUCAGCAUACUGCGGUGAAUACGUUCCCGGGCCUUGUACACACCGCCCGUCGCACCAUGGAAGUUGGCCAUGCCCGAAGUCGUUACUUUAACCCUUGUGGAGAAGGACGCCGAAGGUGGGGCUGAUGACUGGGGUGAAGUCGUAACAAGGUAACC